RNAcentral lists this long non-coding RNA (533 nucleotides) under Homo sapiens (human). RNAcentral's name for it is "non-protein coding lnc-TRIM37-1:1". The record is from RNAcentral. Lineage: Eukaryota; Metazoa; Chordata; Mammalia; Primates; Hominidae.
GAGAUGUUGAGUGACAGCUGUCCAAUGGAGGCCCUCCGUGCUAGUACGGCUUGCGGCUUAAGCGCCGCCGCGGUCUGCGGAAUGUCAACUAUUCAACAUGGAGGCGGAGGUCGAUAAGCUGGAACUGAUGCUGUCACCACUGACUAAAGAAGAGAAAACUGCGGCAGAGCAAUUCAAAUUUCACAUGCCAGAUUUAUGAAGAAAUGGACUUGGAAAGGAAAUUCUAACAGAGAAGAGCUUAAUUCCGGAGAAAUUUAGGAAGAUGUCUUGUUAACCCUUGAUGUCUAGAGAUUGGGGGCUGGUGAAGGGGGUUUGGCUUCAAUGACUGGAUAAUGAUAUCUUUCAUGAGAGAGAUUAUAAGAAGAAGGGCAGAUAAUAUAUGAAUAAAGUUCAGCCAAAAGGAUCAAAUGAGAAUAAAACGAUUUAAAUAUAUGUACACACGCAUGCACACACACACUUAGUCUUGUAAUUUCAGGCCAGAAAUUCUCAACACUAUUUUGCAUCUGUUUUCUUUUUCUAAGUCAUGAUAAUAU